CGGCACUCUUAAGAUUGAGCUGUGAUGGGGAGAGGAACUUGUUCCUCGAGUCGUUGAUUUCACACUGCCGAGAAAAGCCUCUAGCUAGAAUAACGGUGCCCGUACCGCAAACCGACACAGGUAGUCAAGAUGAGAAUUCUAAGGUGAGCGAGCGAACUCUCGUUAAGGAACUCGGCAAAAUGACCCCGUAACUUCGGGAGAAGGGGUGCUCUUUGAGGUUCACGCUUCGAAGAGCCGCAGUGAAUAGGCCCAAGCGACUGUUUAUCAAAAACACAGGUCUCUGCUAAACCGUAAGGUGACGUAUAGGGGCUGACGCCUGCCCGGUGCUGGAAGGUUAAGAGGAGUGGUUAGCGCAAGCGAAGCUACGAAUCGAAGCCCCAGUAAACGGCGGCCGUAACUAUAACGGUCCUAAGGUAGCGAAAUUCCUUGUCGGGUAAGUUCCGACCCGCACGAAAGGCGUAACGAUUUGGGCACUGUCUCAACGAGAGACUCGGUGAAAUCAUAGUACCGGUGAAGAUGCCGGUUACCCGCGACAGGACGGAAAGACCCCGUGGAGCUUUACUGUAGCCUGAUAUUGAAAUUCGGUACAGUUUGUACAGGAUAGGUAGGAGCCUUAGAAGCGUGAGCGCUAGCUUACGUGGAGGCAUUGGUGGGAUACUACCCUAAUUGUAUUGGAUUUCUAACCCGCAGCACUUAUCGUGCUGGGAGACAGUGUCAGGCGGGCAGUUUGACUGGGGCGGUCGCCUCCUAAAGAGUAACGGAGGCGCUCAAAGGUUCCCUCAGAAUGGUUGGAAAUCAUUCAUAGAGUGUAAAGGCAUAAGGGAGCUUGACUGCGAGACCUACAAGUCGAGCAGGGUCGAAAGACGGACUUAGUGAUCCGGUGGUUCCGCAUGGAAGGGCCAUCGCUCAACGGAUAAAAGCUACCCCGGGGAUAACAGGCUUAUCUCCCCCAAGAGUUCACAUCGACGGGGAGGUUUGGCACCUCGAUGUCGGCUCAUCGCAUCCUGGGGCUGUAGUCGGUCCCAAGGGUUGGGCUGUUCGCCCAUUAAAGCGGUACGCGAGCUGGGUUCAGAACGUCGUGAGACAGUUCGGUCCCUAUCCGUCGUGGGCGUAGGAAAUUUGAGAGGAGCUGUCCUUAGUACGAGAGGACCGGGAUGGACAUACCUCUGGUGUACCAGUUGUCGUGCCAACGGCAUAGCUGGGUAGCUAUGUAUGGACGGGAUAAGUG
This 1228-nucleotide ribosomal RNA is filed under the name Staphylococcus pseudintermedius. Its description in RNAcentral is "partial 23S ribosomal RNA". It matches the Rfam family "Bacterial large subunit ribosomal RNA", at positions 1542 to 2770 of the family's 2925-position model. The record is from RNAcentral. Lineage: Bacteria; Bacillati; Bacillota; Bacilli; Caryophanales; Staphylococcaceae.